GAGAUCCCUCCCAACGUGACUCA
RNAcentral lists this non-coding RNA (23 nucleotides) under Arabidopsis thaliana (thale cress). Lineage: Eukaryota; Viridiplantae; Streptophyta; Magnoliopsida; Brassicales; Brassicaceae. The record is from RNAcentral.